RNAcentral lists this ribosomal RNA (446 nucleotides) under uncultured bacterium. RNAcentral describes it as "bacterial SSU rRNA". It matches the Rfam family "Bacterial small subunit ribosomal RNA", at positions 329 to 792 of the family's 1533-position model. The record is from RNAcentral.
UGCCAGACUCCUACGGGAGGCAGCAGUGGGGGAUAUUGCACAAUGGGGGAAACCCUGAUGCAGCGACGCCGCGUGAGUGAAGAAGUAUUUCGGUAUGUAAAGCUCUAUCAGCAGGGAAGAAGAUGACAGUACCUGAGUAAGAAGCCCCGGCUAACUACGUGCCAGCAGCCGCGGUAAUACGUAGGGGGCAAGCGUUAUCCGGAUUUACUGGGUGUAAAGGGAGCGUAGACGGUUAUGUAAGUCUGGAGUGAAAGCCCGGGGCCCAACCCCGGGACUGCUUUUGAAACUGUACAGCUUGAUUGCAGGAGAGGCAAGUGGAAUUCCUAGUGUAGCGGUGAAAUGCGUAGAUAUUAGGAGGAACACCAGUGGCGAAGGCGGCUUGCUGGACUGUAAAUGACGCUGAGGCUCGAAAGCGUGGGGAGCAAACAGGAUUAGAUACCCCAGUA